Non-coding RNA from Gossypium hirsutum (cotton), 143 nucleotides. The record is from Rfam. NCBI's taxonomy places the organism in Eukaryota, Viridiplantae, Streptophyta, Magnoliopsida, Malvales, Malvaceae.
UAUUAAAAAAUUAUCAAUUUCUACUGUUAAAAAUUGGUAUAGCUGAUAGAAUAACUAGACAAUUAUACGUGAUAUGUCACGUGUACUUCAUGCCGACGUAUAUGGACCAUUUUUAACAGUAAGAAUAGAUGUAAUUUUUAACA